AUACUCUGGUUUCACUUUGGAUAGAAUAAAUCUUCUGCCUUUUACGAAAAAUUUCCGUGGACAGGAGCCACUCUUGAGUUUUUGGUCAAUUGUUUGAGGUUUUGCUUUGGCGAGGCU
Molecule: small nuclear RNA, 117 nt
Filed under: Propithecus coquereli (Coquerel's sifaka)
Lineage: Eukaryota; Metazoa; Chordata; Mammalia; Primates; Indriidae
Description: U5 spliceosomal RNA (ENSPCOG00000009345.1)
Rfam family: U5 spliceosomal RNA
About the family: U5 RNA is a component of both types of known spliceosome.
Source: Rfam by way of RNAcentral